AACCUUAUGGACCUGCGGGCGUAUACCUGCGGAAGGAUCAUUACCGAGUUAUACAACUCAUCAACCCUGUGAACAUACCUAAAACGUUGCCUCGGCGGGAACAGACGGCCCCGUAACACGGGCCGCCCCCGCCAGAGGACCCCCUAACUCUGUUUCUAUAAUGUUUUUUCUGAGUAAACAAGCAAAUAAAUCAAAACUUUUAGCAACGGAUCU
RNAcentral lists this unclassified non-coding RNA (213 nucleotides) under soil metagenome. Its description in RNAcentral is "partial contains 5.8S ribosomal RNA, internal transcribed spacer 2, and large subunit ribosomal RNA". The record is from RNAcentral.